AUGGAGUUAUUAGUUCAUCAAGGAGAACACGACCCUCUAGAAGGUGUUCGAGAACCCAAGAUGCACCUCCAAAUCUUGCCAUUGCCUGAAGGAGAAGGCGAUGAAACUGGAUGCACGUGUAUGCAGAGCCAGAUCAUGUGCCACCAUUGCCGAAGGGUGCUAGCCUACCCGUCAGGGGCGCCCAGCGUGUGCGGCGCCAUGUGCCGAGCCAUCACCGCCGUGCCACCCCCAGCGCCAGCCCUCUCUUGUGUCCCUGUUAUGAGAAUUGUUCCUUCAAGGAUAUGCCAGAAUGACAUAUGUGUUCAAUCUUCAAUGUGA
RNAcentral lists this ribosomal RNA (318 nucleotides) under Triticum aestivum (bread wheat). Its description in RNAcentral is "partial small subunit ribosomal RNA". Lineage: Eukaryota; Viridiplantae; Streptophyta; Magnoliopsida; Poales; Poaceae. The record is from RNAcentral.